AUAGUUAUCUGGCAGAGGAGAUACCAUGAUCACAAAGGUGGUUUUCUCAGGGUGAGGCUCAUCCAUUGCACUCCAGUGUGCCAAACCCCUGUGAUUUCCCCAAACGCGGGAAACUUGACUGCGUAAUUUGUGGUAGUGGGGAACUGUGUUCGUGCCUUCCCCUG
RNAcentral lists this small nuclear RNA (164 nucleotides) under Dasypus novemcinctus (nine-banded armadillo). RNAcentral describes it as "U1 spliceosomal RNA (ENSDNOG00000038204.1)". It matches the Rfam family "U1 spliceosomal RNA". Rfam says of the family: U1 is a small nuclear RNA (snRNA) component of the spliceosome (involved in pre-mRNA splicing). The record is from RNAcentral. Lineage: Eukaryota; Metazoa; Chordata; Mammalia; Cingulata; Dasypodidae.